This is a long non-coding RNA of Marmota monax (woodchuck), 317 nucleotides long. RefSeq lists it as uncharacterized. Lineage: Eukaryota; Metazoa; Chordata; Mammalia; Rodentia; Sciuridae. The record is from RefSeq and is a predicted model, not a curated record. The transcript is spliced from 3 exons.
GCCAUGGCUCACGAUCUAGCAUAAUAUCUGUGAGUCACACAGUGAUGCUUCUAGCUGCCCAUAGCAUUUUAACUUAAAAAGAAAAGUUGUAAAUGUAAUGAACAAUCUAAAAGUUUCAUCCAAAUUCUAGGCUUUUCUGAUGCUGGGAAAGAAGCUUUUGAUGUAUAUUCUGCAUGCAUUCUGAUUUGUCUGACUCAAUAUCUUCUCAUCUUUCAUGGAUGUGUAUUUAGCCUCAUUGAGUGAACAGGCUUUGAGGAGCAGCAAUCUGCAUACUUCUAAAAGAAAUGAUUUGGCCACCUGCACUUUUGGAAAAUUGU